RNAcentral lists this ribosomal RNA (863 nucleotides) under uncultured bacterium. Its description in RNAcentral is "bacterial SSU rRNA". It matches the Rfam family "Bacterial small subunit ribosomal RNA", at positions 8 to 916 of the family's 1533-position model. The record is from RNAcentral.
AGAGUUUGAUCCUGGCUCAGAACGAACGCUGGCGGCAUGCCUAACACAUGCAAGUCGAACGAGACCUUCGGGUCUAGUGGCGCACGGGUGCGUAACGCGUGGGAAUCUGCCCUUGGGUUCGGGAUAACAGUUGGAAACGACUGCUAAUACCGGAUGAUAUCUUCGGAUCAAAGAUUUAUCGCCCAGGGAUGAGCCCGCGUAGGAUUAGCUUGUUGGUGAGGUAAAAGCUCACCAAGGCGACGAUCCUUAGCUGGUCUGAGAGGAUGAUCAGCCACACUGGGACUGAGACACGGCCCAGACUCCUACGGGAGGCAGCAGUGGGGAAUAUUGGACAAUGGGCGAAAGCCUGAUCCAGCAAUGCCGCGUGAGUGAUGAAGGCCUUAGGGUUGUAAAGCUCUUUUACCCGGGAUGAUAAUGACAGUACCGGGAGAAUAAGCCCCGGCUAACUCCGUGCCAGCAGCCGCGGUAAUACGGAGGGGGCUAGCGUUGUUCGGAAUUACUGGGCGUAAAGCGCGCGUAGGCGGCUUUGUAAGUUAGAGGUGAAAGCCCGGAGCUCAACUCCGGAAUUGCCUUUAAGACUGCAUCGCUAGAAUCAUGGAGAGGUGAGUGGAAUUCCGAGUGUAGAGGUGAAAUUCGUAGAUAUUCGGAAGAACACCAGUGGCGAAGGCGACUCACUGGACAUGUAUUGACGCUGAGGUGCGAAAGCGUGGGGGAGCAAACAGGAUUAGAUACCCUGGUAGUCCACGCCGUAAACGAUGAUGACUAGCUGUCGGGGCUCUUAGAGUUUCGGUGGCGCAGCUAACGCGUUAAGUCAUCCGCCUGGGGAGUACGGUCGCAAGAUUAAAACUCAAAGGAAUUGACGG